ACGGGAGGCAGCAGUGGGGAAUAUUGCACAAUGGGCGCAAGCCUGAUGCAGCAACGCCGCGUGAGGGAAGACGGUCUUCGGAUUGUAAACCUUUGUCUUUGGUGAAGAAGAAAGUGACGGUAGCCAAGGAGGAAGCCCCGGCUAACUACGUGCCAGCAGCCGCGGUAAUACGUAGGGGGCAAGCGUUAUCCGGAUUUACUGGGUGUAAAGGGAGCGUAGACGGUAAGGCAAGUCUGAAGUGAAAUGCAGGGGCUCAACCCCUGAACUGCUUUGGAAACUGUCAAACUAGAGUGCAGGAGAGGUAAGUGGAAUUCCUAGUGUAGCGGUGAAAUGCGUAGAUAUUAGGAGGAACACCAGUGGCGAAGGCGGCUUACUGGACUGUAACUGACGUUGAGGCUCGAAAGCGUGGGGAGCAAACAGGAUUAGAUACCCUGGUA
Molecule: ribosomal RNA, 437 nt
Filed under: uncultured Lachnospiraceae bacterium
Lineage: Bacteria; Bacillati; Bacillota; Clostridia; Lachnospirales; Lachnospiraceae
Description: partial 16S ribosomal RNA
Rfam family: Bacterial small subunit ribosomal RNA
Source: RNAcentral